Molecule: ribosomal RNA, 471 nt
Filed under: Stenotrophomonas maltophilia
Lineage: Bacteria; Pseudomonadati; Pseudomonadota; Gammaproteobacteria; Lysobacterales; Lysobacteraceae
Description: bacterial SSU rRNA
Rfam family: Bacterial small subunit ribosomal RNA
Source: RNAcentral
CAUGCAAGUCGAACGGCAGCACAGGAGAGCUUGCUCUCUGGGUGGCGAGUGGCGGACGGGUGAGGAAUACAUCGGAAUCUACUUUUUCGUGGGGGAUAACGUAGGGAAACUUACGCUAAUACCGCAUACGACCUACGGGUGAAAGCAGGGGAUCUUCGGACCUUGCGCGAUUGAAUGAGCCGAUGUCGGAUUAGCUAGUUGGCGGGGUAAAGGCCCACCAAGGCGACGAUCCGUAGCUGGUCUGAGAGGAUGAUCAGCCACACUGGAACUGAGACACGGUCCAGACUCCUACGGGAGGCAGCAGUGGGGAAUAUUGGACAAUGGGCGCAAGCCUGAUCCAGCCAUACCGCGUGGGUGAAGAAGGCCUUCGGGUUGUAAAGCCCUUUUGUUGGGAAAGAAAUCCAGCUGGUUAAUACCCGGUUGGGAUGACGGUACCCAAAGAAUAAGCACCGGCUAACUUCGUGCCAGCAG